AGCCUAAAGUCUGUGUUAGUGACGAAGAAGCGUAAUGGCGUCAUCACCCUCGUGAUUGUGACGCAGAGGCACAAUGGCGGCGUCCGCUCUCAGAAUGCUGCGCCAGGUGAGUCGCUCGCGUGCAGCUGUGAGACUCUUGUGUUCACACGCACACGGAUGUGAGAGCGCCGCAGGUUUUCCUCCACUGCAGAGCUGCUCACAGGAGGAGGCCAUGAUGAGAGACGCAGUGAAGAAAUUCUCUCAGGAGCGCAUCGCACCGCUCGUGUCCAAGAUGGAUGAAAACUCGGCGAUGGACGCAGAAGUGAUCAGCUCUCUGUUUGAGCAGGGCUUGAUGGGCAUCGAGAUCGGAACAGGAUACGGCGGCACGGGUUCCACCUUCUUCUCGUCCAUGCUGGUGAUCGAGGAGCUGGCGAAGGUGGACCCGUCUGUGGCCGUGCUGUGUGACAUUCAGAACACGCUCAUAAACACCCUGCUGGCAGACCUGGGCACCGAGGAGCAGAAGGAGCGAUAUCUCCCUCGACUCGCCAACGACACGGUGGGCAGCUUUUGCUUGUCAGAGGCAGAGUCAGGCAGUGACGCUUUCUCUCUGAAGACUAAAGCAGAGAAACAGAAAGACUAUUACAUCAUCAACGGUUCCAAGAUGUGGAUCAGUAACGCAGAACAUGCCGGAGUGUUCUUGGUCAUGGCCAACGCAGACACCGCUGCCGGUUACAGAGGCAUCAGCUGUUUCAUAGUGGACAGAGAAACAGAUGGACUUCACAUCGGCAAGAAAGAAAAUAAAUUGGGUCUGCGAGCUUCAUCCACGUGUGCUCUUAAUUUCGACAAUGUGAAGGUUCACGAGAAGAAUGUUUUGGGAAAGAUCGGUCACGGUUAUAAAUAUGCCAUCGGAAUGCUGAAUGGUGGCAGGAUCGGUAUCGCAGCACAGAUGCUCGGUCUGGCUCAAGGGUGUUUUGAUCACACGGUCACAUACACCAGGCAGCGUGUUCAAUUCGGCAAACGGAUCUUUGACUUCCAGGGGAUGCAGCAUCAGAUCGCUCAUGUGGCCACUCAGCUGGAAGCCGCUCGGCUGUUGACCUAUAACGCGGCUCGGCUGAAGGAGGCGGGACGUCCGUUCAUCAAAGAGGCCUGCAUGGCCAAAUACUUCACCUCUGAGGUGGCCACACUCACUACAUCAAAAUGCAUCGAGUGGAUGGGUGGGGUGGGUUUUACUAAAGAUUAUCCCAUCGAGAAAUAUUACAGAGAUUGUAAAAUAGGAACCAUUUAUGAGGGAACAACAAACAUUCAGCUGAGCACAAUGGCCAAGUUGAUCGAUCGAGAGUUCGACUCCUAAAUUCACCAUCGACCCACAGUGUGUGAAAUACUGUUCCUCAAACAACACUGUUCUUGCUCUCUCACCUCACAUUCUGGAUGUUUCUGCAGAUCAUCUGUUUAGUCGGUUGAGAUCUGUUACAAAUACGCCACAAUAACAGUAAUAAUGUUGUAGCAGCAGGUGUCAGUAGAGCUCCAGUCAUCUCAACAGCUUCUGGAAGUUUCGGUUUGAUCAAGUCAAAGACCAAACACACUGUUCAGGAAUAAUGCUGCUGAAUAUGAGGUUCAUGAGACAUUGACAUAAUAUAAGUGCAUAUAAUACUGUAGCAUAGUAGAAAUAUGAUGGAAGUCAAAUCACCCUUUACAAUUAUUAUUAUUCAUAUAUCAUCAUCCUCUCUCUUAAUGUCAGUGUAUGUACAUCAUUGGGAUGACGAAUAUACAGUCAUGUUUGUUACUAAUGUAUGAGCAGAAAUUAUUAUUACAUUAUUUACAUGGUAUUUUCUCUGUGCUGUUUCUAAAUAUUCAAAAUAAAGGAACAACAUGUAGUGUCAAGGUGAGAUAUUU
Triplophysa rosa is the source of this 1872-nucleotide RNA transcript. It is a transcript of the gene named acyl-CoA dehydrogenase short/branched chain, with no coding region annotated. The transcript has 12 exons. NCBI's taxonomy places the organism in Eukaryota, Metazoa, Chordata, Actinopteri, Cypriniformes, Nemacheilidae. The record is from RefSeq and is a predicted model, not a curated record.